GAUGAACGCUGGCGGCGUGCCUAAUACAUGCAAGUCGAGCGAACAGACGAGGAGCUUGCUCCUCUGACGUUAGCGGCGGACGGGUGAGUAACACGUGGAUAACCUACCUAUAAGACUGGGAUAACUUCGGGAAACCGGAGCUAAUACCGGAUAAUAUAUUGAACCGCAUGGUUCAAUAGUGAAAGACGGUUUUGCUGUCACUUAUAGAUGGAUCCGCUCCGCAUUAGCUAGUUGGUAAGGUAACGGCUUACCAAGGCAACGAUGCGUAGCCGACCUGAGAGGGUGAUCGGCCACACGGGAACGGAGACACGGUCCAGACUCCUACGGGAGGCAGCAGUGGGGAAUCUUCCGCAAUGGGCGAAAGCCUGACGGAGCAACGCCGCGUGAGUGAUGAAGGUCUUCGGAUCGUAAAACUCUGUUAUUAGGGAAGAACAAAUGUGUAAGUAACUAUGCACGUCUUGACGGUACCUAAUCAGAAAGCCACGGCUAACUACGUG
This 497-nucleotide ribosomal RNA is filed under the name uncultured bacterium. Its description in RNAcentral is "partial 16S ribosomal RNA". It matches the Rfam family "Bacterial small subunit ribosomal RNA", at positions 28 to 507 of the family's 1533-position model. The record is from RNAcentral.